CGUGGGCAGGCGGCGGCGGCCGCCAGGUCCGGUCGCGGUACGGGGUCGCGCUCCCCUUCCCUCUCCUCCCUUCGCCGGCCGAGGCCUGCUCCGUCAGCCAGAGCCCGCGGCCCGGCGCCAGGGAGAUCGCACCGCCGAGGGUGACGGGCGAGCUCUGGGCAGAGCCGCCCCGCAGCCUGCGCUCGCGCCCGGCCGGAGGAACCCCUCGCCGGGCGGUCGGCUGGCCAACCCGCGGGCCUCUGCUGGCGCCGCCGCCGCCGGGUGACCGCCCGGGCCGGUGACCAGCGGGUGUCCGGAGCGCCAGGAGCUCCAGUGCUGUCUGCUCCACAUGCCUUCCGACCGUGCCCUCUCCUUUAUUUGCAAGUCUCCCUGCAUUCUCCUUUCACACACCGAGACCUGCUGCCUGAGUUGCUGCCCUGCCCGAUCUUCACCUCAGUGCACGUUGGACCUCUUGUUGUCUUAAGCAUCUUGCCUUUUAUCUUCUGUGGAAGGGGACUUUGAAGUAAAGUUUCACUUGUCCAUAGUGUGAUGUGUCCAUGAGCUGAACUUAUUCUGGUGACAGGGUAGUCCUCUGAGGACCAAAAACUUGGAAGAGAAACAGUCUGACCUGAUUUGUCCAUUUCAGUGAUGUAUUUCUAAGGAAAUAGCUUGGAGUCAGCUUCUUGGUGCUUACAUGGUCCUGUACGCCCUUGGUCCUGUGCUGCAUUAGAAUGGGAUGGAUGGCUGGACACGGCAGGGACUGAGGCAUAGGCCAUUCAGAGACCCAGCAGAGGAUGCGUCGCUCCCUGGAGUUCACAAGCAUUUCCUUUUCCCAUUGCAGUAAGACAAGCACAAGCUAGCUCUUGACUUCACUUUUUUGUCAGUGAAUGCUGAUGUUAGAUUACAUCAGGGGAAAGCAUGAGGCUUGGCCAGGUGGCUGCCAGCCUGUUCAGCCCCAACUUAGGCCAUGCUGGAGGCUGAUGUGCUUCCCACUAUGCUCAGACUGUAUUGGGGUCCUCCUUGCUGCCUGCAACAGGACUGCAUCAACUCUGCAGUCCCCUAGCACUGCGGCACAGCUGUUUUGUUGGAUGAGCAUGGGGCUAUCAGAGGCAAAAGGGAGCAGAGCGUAGUCCCUUACUUCUCUGGAAGGCAUGACUUUUCUCAACCUAGCAUGCUCCCUGCAGUGUUACUCUGGCUUCUUACGGUCAGUCAGCUGUCUCUCUCCUGGCAGCACAUCCACUUGCCCUGGCCCAAGAAGGAAGGGGAGAAAAAGUGCAUUGAAACCAACAGCAGCUUCUGGAUUCGUUAGUCAGCUCUCUUCAUGAAUCACACCUGCUUUAGUGGGGCACCAUUAGGCCUUUGAGUAUGGAAGGAGCAGGCAGGGUGUGAGGAAGGAUGGAGGCUGCAAGCGGAAGCUCCAAGGAGUGAGUGGAGUUACCUGAGCAGGUUGUUCAGCGGGCGGGACAUGGGCUGGGCUGGGCUGCUUGGAUCUGUAGUGGGGUCUUGGGUGCAGGUUUGUGGUUACCUGUGCGUGUUGCGAGAGGUUCCUGAUGGGUAGUGUGUGGAGGAGAUGGGAUGCUGUGUGUAUGCAUCUGGGCUGCUGGGUACGUCGUGGUGCUGAGGGGAGUGUCCGUGCUUGCCUGCAGGAUUACUGCACAGUGCCUUUCUCCAUGGUGGUGUCUGCCUUGUCAGCCGUACCAGUGUUCAUGGAGAAGUGUGCAUGCACCAAUGUCUGCAUGUGGAGGAGGAGGCUGUUAUGCCUUCGGUACCCUACCCAUCCCGCUUUCCCUGGUCGUGGUGUCCGUCUGUCAGACAGGUGGAGAAGUUAACUCUCUAUGGGUGGGUUUAUGUGCCUGUGUUCGUGCUGGCGGUGAGGCAGAGCUGCUCCCUCACUGUGCCUACGCCAGGGGUGCAGGAUGUCUCUGCCUGCAUGCAUGUGCCUGCAUGCACUUGCAUCCUUUAUGGUGCAGGGGGCUCUUCCCCUGAUUCUGUGUGCCUGUGGAGGUGUUCUGGGGUCUUCAGAGCAGGUUUUUCCAGGUCCUCUACGGCUAUUUUUGCUUCCACGGAGCCUGGAAUCCCUGAAAUGCUCUGGGCACCUCUGUCGGGCAGUUCCAACGGCCUGUGGUGGGACACUUGUGGCUCUGCGGUAGUGUGAUCUCUCUCUGUCACUUUGCCAGGCUCUCUGGGGCUUUUACUCACUUUUGAGCUCUGUUCUCGGUGUGGGGGAGCUCAUUUGGGGUCUGCAGGGCAGUUCCUACCACUGCGCUGCCACAUUUAGGCAGGUGCAGGGGUGAUCUUGGGUGCUUGAUGCUUUUGGUGGUUCCCCGGGGCCAUGGCAGGGUGCCUUGAGGUCUUUGCCGUGUUUUUUGGACAGCUUGGCGAUGCCCAAAGCUGGUAUGUCUUGGGAGAGUUGUUUUAGAGUCUUUGAGUUCCUUCCCACAGGUUUGCUGAGCAGGCAGCCUGUCCCUGGGACACCGCGCAGGGGCAGCAGGAAGCGGGGCAGCACACUGCGACUCGGGCUGAGAGCGCUCCUACGCACGCGUAAGUGAGCAGAGCUCCUCGGAGCGCUGCGGUGGUACCGCCGCCGGCCGUCCCCUCCCGGGCCACCGCUUCGCCGGCCCCGCUCCGCUGCGUGACGUGCGGCCCGGCCGGCUCAGGCCUCGCCCGUGCGCCGCGCCCCCUGGUGGCGGGCAGCGGCACUGCAGACCACCGGGUGGCGCACGCGCGUUUUCACGGAGGGCGCCCGGUGGUGCCCCCUCUCGUUUGCGCUCGGGUACUGCCGGUGGUCGCAUUGCGCAUGCGGCAUGUCAUCUGAUUGGCUCGCUUCGCCACGUGAUUUUUGCGGCAUGCGCAGUGCGCGUGGUCGCGCGCACCGCUGCGUGCCCGCGUGCGGGGCGGCCGGCCGGUGUGCCCGUGUGGCGCUGGUUUGGCGCCGGCGCCCGUACGCGUGCGCGUUCCGGUGCCAGGGCGGCCGCCGGCCGUGCCCGUAUGCGCAGUGCAGCGGGCGGGCGCUGGGAGGUGGCGGCCGCGCCCGGUGGCCGCCGGCGCCGCUCGUCCUUGCUGGUCGGCGUGCUCCCUGCUGCCGUUCUGCCUUAGAAGAAACGCGGCCGGGCCGCGCCGUGCUGCCCCGGCGACGGGAGCGCGGGUUGGUGCUGCUCGCCUAAGGUCGGAGCCCUUCACGUGCGAUUGCCUGUGGCUUAGGGCUGUCUUUUGGUCCCUUUUUUUUGGUAGUAACAGGCGAUUUUCCUAAUGUCGCGACACCAACAAAACAGGAAUAUAAACAGCACUUGCAGCGUGAAUCACCACGUUGACGUUCAUAGUUUAUGUGUGCUGCAUUUUUAAAGGCAAUGAACUAAUCUGUUUAGUCUGUUGCUUUUUAAAGAGUUGUAUGUUUUGUGUUCUACAGUGAUGAAUCUUGAAAAUAAUGAUGUGUGUCCGAUAGUAAUAUCGGUAGUGAAAAUUUUGGAAGUUUUCUCUGUAAUCUUUGGUGCUGAAUUACGGACGUGUUUAAAAACUAUUGACAAACCAUUUUGUGGAGAAGGAAAAAAACACAUAGCAAAGAAAUGUACCUAUGUGUGAAAUUCUCAGGUAGGGUAGCUCGCUAUAAGACAAAUCAUUAGGUAAUCACUUGAACCAUAGAUCAUCAUACAUUGCAGUCACAUGGAAGUAACACACUUGUUCUUCACAAAAUUCUUUUUGUGAGGAAUUCUAAGCAAAGUUUUCUGUAUCUUAUUAAAGCAAGUCAACCGCAAAUACAAAUAUUUAAUUAUUUAUUAACUAUGUAAUAUACAGAGAUAUAUAUUUUACACCAAUAUUUUAAAAUGGAAGAUAAUAAAAUUAAUGUAGUUGACUAGAGAUGACUAUUUGGAAGACGUCAGAAGGGAAACCUGACCUUUUUAAGUAUUAAUCCUUGUGCUAUAUACGCUAUCUAGAAACUGGAUACAUGAAAAUUGUAUUGUAGUGAGACUGCAGUAUGGCACCUUGCUGAAUUCACAAUAUGCAUAGAAGCAAACUAAAUUGAUUUUUCAAGAUUCAUUUUGGUAUUUGGCAAAAUUGUUAAUUUGUGCAAUAAUGUGAUUUUUAAUGUGAAUGCCAUUAUGUUCUCACAAUUAUUUUAGCCUGGAGAAUAAUAGAUUAAAAUAGUGAUUUCUCAGGGUUUUUACAGUUAGGAGCUGUAAUUUAACCAAAAGUGUGCUAAUUACAAGUAGAUCCCAAGCUGCAUCUUACAGGCUUAUUAUUAGUCUUCUUUGAGUAGCAGAUUAUUAAAGACAUACUUGUUUUGUUCUAUAUUGCCAUUCAAGUAUGUAGUAUAUAGGUGGUAAUAUUAUUAGUGUCACAUUAUACUUGUGAGACUGUGGUCACCAUCAGACCCUAAAUAAAUAUGGAAUUUUUACUCAUAUUAAUUUAUGGAAGCCGUUAAUGUUUUGAGUGUACAGACAGAAAUGAUUUUGUGAAUGAAAUUGUUCUUAAUGCAAAGCAUUAUUUUUAAUGCGUACUGACUUAAUUGUAGUUAACUGUUUAAAAUUGUUAAUGCUUUUCUAUACUGUAGCGUUUAUGCAGUGGUUUAUCGAAGUCAUGUAAUUAUUUUUAUUAACA
This is a long non-coding RNA of Chroicocephalus ridibundus (black-headed gull), 4575 nucleotides long. RefSeq lists it as uncharacterized. The transcript is spliced from 5 exons. The record is from RefSeq and is a predicted model, not a curated record. NCBI's taxonomy places the organism in Eukaryota, Metazoa, Chordata, Aves, Charadriiformes, Laridae.